UCAAAAUUAAGGGAACACGGAAUUCCCAAAGACUGAUGAUGACAUUUGUACUAAGAAGAGCUGUCCAGGAAGAGCUCCCCCAACUUUUCUCCCUGGAGUGAAGAGCCAGCUACUCCAUUGGUUCUGAUCUUCGCAGAUGUUAACAGAUCCUGGGAAUCUCUACACCCGACAUGGGGCUCGAACUCAUGACCCCGAGAUCAAAAGUUGCAUGCUCUUCUGACUGAGCCAGCCGGGUGCCCCUGAACUAUGGGUGGAGCCAUCAUGCACCCAGGGCAUGUCCUUCAUCUGGUCACCAGACAAGAGAGGCUCAGAUGAACUCAGGGAAAGUGUCUGUUUAUUAAGUCUAGAGCCCAGAUUCUGAGGAAGAGUCACAUGGAGAAUCCUACAGAGGACCCUUUCCCCCAACCCCAGCCUGUGCUUAAUUAAGUGAGUGGCUUAAGGGACUUGCCUCCUCUUGAAGAUUAAGAGGUGGGUGUGAAUAUUUUCCUCUGGCCCCCUUAAUGUUCUUGAUUACAGUAAUAAAAAUGCUAAGCUCUAUUGCCUCUCGUUGGAGUAAAGGCGGCUGAAAACUCCUCAUUCCCUGAAGAACCUAAUUGUUGAUUCUACUGCAUCUAAACAGGUGU
This 623-nucleotide transfer RNA is filed under the name Zalophus californianus (California sea lion). Its description in RNAcentral is "lncRNA (ENSZCAG00015003421.1)". The record is from RNAcentral. Lineage: Eukaryota; Metazoa; Chordata; Mammalia; Carnivora; Otariidae.